Molecule: ribosomal RNA, 491 nt
Filed under: uncultured bacterium
Lineage: Bacteria
Description: partial 16S ribosomal RNA
Rfam family: Bacterial small subunit ribosomal RNA
Source: RNAcentral
AGUGAACGCUGGCGGUAGGCCUAACACAUGCAAGUCGAACGGCAGCACAGUAAGAGCUUGCUCUUACGGGUGGCGAGUGGCGGACGGGUGAGGAAUACAUCGGAAUCUACUUUUUCGUGGGGGAUAACGUAGGGAAACUUACGCUAAUACCGCAUACGACCUACGGGUGAAAGCAGUGGAUCUUCGGACCUUGCGCGAUUGAAUGAGCCGAUGUCGGAUUAGCUAGUUGGCGGGGUAAAGGCCCACCAAGGCGACGAUCCGUAGCUGGUCUGAGAGGAUGGUCAGCCACACUGGAAGUGAGACACGGCCCAGAAUCUGACGGGAGGCAGCAGUGGGGAAUAUUGGAAAAUGGGCGGAAGCCUGAUCCAGCCAUACCGCGUGGGUGAAGAAGGCCUGCGGGUGGUAAAGCCCUUUUGUUGGGAAAGAAAAGCAGCAGGUUAAUACCCCGCUGUUCUGACGGUACCCAAAGAAUAAGCACCGGCUAACUUCGU